Meleagris gallopavo (turkey) is the source of this 3315-nucleotide non-coding RNA. The record is from RefSeq and is a predicted model, not a curated record. Lineage: Eukaryota; Metazoa; Chordata; Aves; Galliformes; Phasianidae.
AGAAGAAGAAGAAGAAAAAAAGAAAAAUGACGCUGAGUAAUUUCACUUGCUUUGAACAAAAAGAUCAAGGGAAGUUAAGUUCUUUGUUGGGCUUUAACAGGUUUGAUUUUUGUGGGGAUUGAACGUAGGCAGGGAAACAACCUUCACUCACGAGGGCUGUAUUACGGUGAUAAACAGUUCUGACUUGAUUGGGCCGUAGGCUGUAUGCAAUUGCAUUUUCCUCACUAGAACAUUUUUUAUACUGACUUAUUGCAUUAAACUCACAGAAUUUGGGAGGGAAGACUGUUGAUGUAAGCAUGUAUCUACCUUAUUUGGAUGCAGACAAAGUAACCUGUGAGUUAUUUCAGUAACCUCGUGCGCCACUGUCUUGCAAGGUAAAAGCUUCAGGCUUUGAAGUCUGUCUGUGGUGCUCAGUUUGUCCCACACCCUUCUCCUGUAAGAUGGGAUGGCCGGGAGAAGAGGUCUGCAGCAUAGAGAUGGUUUGUUUCUUUUCACAAAGCAGGAACAACUUUCAAAAUUCCGUUUAAACAAGAAACAAACAAACACAACAUCAACAACAAACAGAAUUGAGGGCAUAAUGAGGUUGUGCAUGAAGAGGUACUAAAAGUCCCAGAAGGUCAGGAUAUGAUAGCAACUUGUGCCUGAAUUUUCAAACACAUUCCUCAUUUAUGAUAUCUCAUUAUUCAAUUUAUGUAGUUUAAUACAGCAGAUGUUUUUCUGUGAAUGUGAUACAGAUGUUUGCUCAGGGUUAGUGGGAGCUCCUUGGUGUUGUGAGUGCAUUAGUGCUCGUGUCACGAGCGUUCUGCUGGUGAUGUGAAGCUGUCAUUCUGUGGAAAGAGCAUGCCUUGAGGUUUCAAGCAGUAUGUUGCGUGUUUAAAUAUAGCUGUAUAAAAUAACAGUAAAUGGCUUCCUUUAGCAAACAAAUUGCCUAGGAGAACAGGGUGAAAUCUGUUUUCUGCCAACUGUUUUUGAGUUUAUAAAUCAAUCUCCUUAAUGGAAUCCACACAGACUUAUUGGAGACCGAGUGAACAAAUGUCUCUGGUGGGUUUGAAAACUUUUGCCUCGCUGCCUUUGGAACUGAAGGGGAAGACUUGAUAGUUUUACUUGUUCUUUUUUCCCUGCUCCCUCUCUGCACCUGGGUUUGCAGGAGGGAUUGGCUCAGGACAUGAACCUGCAGCCUGCUCAGGUCUAUAACUGGUUUGCAAAUUAUUGAUGAUGUCAAAAAUCCCAUCAUCUGCAUAUGGAACAAACUUAUGCCCUGCGGGUGCUUCGACCACACAAAGGAGCAGCAGGAUACAAAGCAUCCUACACUCCACAAACUGCAGGUUUGUCUCUUGCUGAUGGGCUUGGGAUGUGGUCUAGAAAGCUGAAAACCUCCCCUGGGAAGAGAAGGAUAGAGAAGAGUGUGGGUGCUGGAGGACUCUGCGUCAGUGGAGUUCCUCAUCCCUUGGCUAUGGGCUGUCCCUUCUACAGAAGCAGCAAGUACUAACAAGGCUUGUGCAGGGAAAGGUGAAAAGAGGUGCCAGAGUCAGAGGGCACUAAAUGGAAGCUAAUAUACGACAGCCAGUAGGUUUUAGCUCUCAGCUUUGGGGUCAGGAUGUGAAUUUAAGAGACUGAUCUGGGAACAAGAUGCUAUCUUUGCACUCUGUGCAUCAGUCACACUUUUGCUGAUGUUAAUGGCUAGCGAUCAUUCACAACUUGCUAUUUCAUCUGUGGUCUCAGUGAUCACCACUUAUCAGCAUUUUCUAUCCUCUGUUGAAGAGAAUGAAAGAUGCCAGUGUUCAUGUAGUGAAAAAGUUGGCACCUGCUUCUUUCUACAUACAGCAGGGAUCCAGUGCAUCCCUACUGCAGCACCUUGCCUUCCACCUGCCUGGCCAUUUUCACAUUGCUUCUUUCUUGUGGACUUCCCAGUGCUGGGUUGGAUGCAGAGUGCCUUCCAAAGGCAGCAAAUAGUGAUGGUUUAAAGGAGCACAAUAAUAGUUCGUAAACUUUUUCCUUAAAAUGUGAAGAGGAUUAUUAGAAUGCAGAUAUGUCAUUCUGAGCUCCAGUCCAUUCCCGUAAAACCCAUUCUUGUUGUGCUCCUUCACAGAGCCUUGACAUAACUUCAGUCAUGGGGGAAAAUGAGGGUCUUGGUGCAUUUGGCAAAAUAAACCACUGUUGGAUUGCUUCUUGGAGUAACUGUUCAUGUUCUUUGCAUGCCUGGUUUGCACCAUUCAGGUGGACUUUUUGUAAGCAUCAGCUCUGAGCAGAUGGAGACAGCCCUUGUGCCCUGUGACCUCCCAGGGUGGGAGCAAUCAGCUGCAGAUCUGGUCCCAGACAGACUGUGGUUGGCAGUCCUCAGUGCCCACCUGUUUCUUCACCCUGCGUAGAAGAAAGCCAAGCCCUGGGACAGAGCCAGGUCCUGGAGGGUCUGGCUGGUGACCCAUGGAGCAGUGACACGACCCAGGCAGCACGGCUGCACUCUGAAUGCUGAGCAAGGACAAAUGUGCCCCACCUGCAGAGAUGCCCAGUGCGGACUGCACUUCUCCAGCAGAAACCUCAUUCUUUCCUGGUUUUCUUUAUAUUUUAAAUGAAUGAGGAGUUUGAUGUGGAGAUGAGGAGCAGAAGGAAUGGGGCAGAAGGAUGAGGGCCUUUUCAAACAGUAAAGCUUACUAAACUGGGCUUUGUAGCUAAGAGUUUUGCAAAGGAUGUAAGAAGGUAGAUUGUGGAUUGGACGUUUUCACUGGAGCAGUCUGAAGCUUUUCUGAAGAUGUGAAAAAUACCAAGUCAGUGAUUCUGUGGCAGUAGCUGGUCAGGUCUCAGUCCUUCAUUACAUCCUGAAGGCAUGUGAAACCCAACGGAAACGGAGGAAAACCUGUUAUUUGGAUGUGGCGUUUCAAACCCCACACCUGGGCACGAUUACGCUGUGUCCCUGGUGCACCCAGUGUUCAUUCCCUGGCUCUCCCUUGGGAUGCCGUUUUCCCGUUGGCUGCUUUGUGCUCACAGCCCGCUGACCAAGGGUUGCGUGUGCCUUCACACAGUCUCCUUUAACAGUGGGGCGCUGGGUGAACCGCUGCUGCUACGCAGGGAGAGAAAGGCGGGACGCGUGUCCCUCAGCGGCCCAGCACCCUUUAGCCGCUCUCUCUCCCCUCUCCAAAGGGUCCUCCUGCCCUGAACCGCCCAGCAGGACCGCUGAGCAGAGGCGCUCCUCCCGCCGUCCGGCGCCAUGGCGGCCGAGCCGCCUUCCUAUUGGCCACCCUCCCCGGAGUGCCGGUAGCAACAGCGACAAAUAUAUCUCCCCGCCUCCUGAUUGGCUGCCGCCUCCCGCCGAGCCGU